Molecule: ribosomal RNA, 460 nt
Filed under: uncultured bacterium
Lineage: Bacteria
Description: partial 16S ribosomal RNA
Rfam family: Bacterial small subunit ribosomal RNA
Source: RNAcentral
CCUACGGGUGGCAGCAGUGAGGAAUAUUGGUCAAUGGCCGUAAGGCUGAACCAGCCAAGUCGCGUGAAGGAAGAAGGUUCUAUGGUUUGUAAACUUCUUUUAUAGGGGAAUAAAGGUAUCCACGUGGGGAUUUUUGCAUUUACCCUAUGAAUAAGCAUCGGCCAACUCCGUGCCAGCAGCCGCGGUAAUACGGAGGAUGCGAGCGUUAACCGGAUUUAUUGGGUUUAAAGGGUGCGUUGGGUGGUGUUGAAGUCAGCGGUGAAAGUUUGUGGGUCAACUAUAAAAUUGCCGUGGAAACUGGAAGACUUGAGUGUGUUUGAGGUAGGCGGAAUGCGUGGUGUAGCGGUGAAAUGCAUAGAUAUCACGAAGAACUCCGAUUGUGAAGGCAGCUUACUAGGCCAUAACUGACGCUGAAGCACGAAAGCGUGGGGAUCAAACAGGAUUAGAUACCCCUGUAGUC